UAAAACACUACAGCCUCAAAGAGAUACUCAAUAUCAGUUCAGGUAUGACAAUGUCAUCCAACUCUUACUAAAGAAUCUUGUGGAUUCUAUGAACCAAAAGGCGAGGGAUAGACUUAUUAUGAAUAGUCUUCUUAGAAUCCACCGCUUUCUGAUCUAUCUAUGAAGGACAAAUAUCCACCGCUUGGGAACUUCAAAGUAUCAGUGCGCAUCCGAUUUUGUUUAUUGGAGAGGACAAAAUCACCAUUUAGAAUUUUUAUCACCAAAUGCAAUCCCGAAGAUCAUUCAGGGCAGGAAUAUUGACACCUCCAGUUACUCAAAGUAUUGCAGAAAUUCAAUUUCGGUCUUUUGUUGUUGAAAAGUUUUCGUGUGGCGUUUUCUUUCUUGUGUUUCUGGGAUUUUCUCGUAUAGUGAAGCUCAAUAGUAGCAUUUCUUGACUAGGAUACUUUCUGGAUGUUGUAGAGCUCUAUGGGUUUGAACUAAGAGAACCUUUUGGUCGGCGAAUUUGAUGAUGAAUAAUAAUUUACCCUUCCUUCCCAUAAGUACGAUAUUGUUAUUAAUAGAACUCUAUUUAAGGUGAAUGUCUAUCUUAUAAGAAGAGUCUUACUUCAAGGGUAAGUC
RNAcentral lists this long non-coding RNA (618 nucleotides) under Nicotiana benthamiana. RNAcentral's name for it is "long non-coding RNA (NBEN_LNC022284)". Lineage: Eukaryota; Viridiplantae; Streptophyta; Magnoliopsida; Solanales; Solanaceae. The record is from RNAcentral.